UACGAAGGGGGCUAGCGUUGUUCGGAUUUACUGGGCGUAAAGCGCACGUAGGCGGCUUUGUAAGUUAGAGGUGAAAGCCCGGGGCUCAACUCCGGAAUUGCCUUUAAGACUGCAUCGCUAGAAUUGUGGAGAGGUAAGUGGAAUUCCGAGUGUAGAGGUGAAAUUCGUAGAUAUUCGGAAGAACACCAGUGGCGAAGGCGACUUACUGGACACAUAUUGACGCUGAGGUGCG
This 232-nucleotide ribosomal RNA is filed under the name uncultured bacterium. RNAcentral describes it as "partial 16S ribosomal RNA". It matches the Rfam family "Bacterial small subunit ribosomal RNA", at positions 524 to 755 of the family's 1533-position model. The record is from RNAcentral.